CAGCUCUAGGCGGUGGACCACUCGGCUCGUGCGUCGAUGAAGAGCGCAGCCAGCUGCGUGAA
RNAcentral lists this ribosomal RNA (62 nucleotides) under Meretrix petechialis. RNAcentral describes it as "partial 5.8S ribosomal RNA". It matches the Rfam family "5.8S ribosomal RNA", at positions 1 to 61 of the family's 154-position model. From Rfam's summary of the family: 5.8S ribosomal RNA (5.8S rRNA) is a component of the large subunit of the eukaryotic ribosome. It is transcribed by RNA polymerase I as part of the 45S precursor that also contains 18S and 28S rRNA. Functionally, it is thought that 5.8S rRNA may be involved in ribosome translocation. Lineage: Eukaryota; Metazoa; Mollusca; Bivalvia; Venerida; Veneridae. The record is from RNAcentral.